Non-coding RNA from Punica granatum (pomegranate), 897 nucleotides. The record is from RefSeq and is a predicted model, not a curated record. NCBI's taxonomy places the organism in Eukaryota, Viridiplantae, Streptophyta, Magnoliopsida, Myrtales, Lythraceae.
AUUUUAAAAUCACAUUUACAAAUCAAAUAAGUCAUAAAAGCUUUUUUUUAUGUCAAAAUUAAAUUUUAAAAUUUUAAAAUUUUAACUUUAACACACUACACAACAAAACACACUCUUUUCAAGUCAAGUAGGUGGGCCCCACAUAUUAUAAAACAUACAAUCCAAUUAUAAUUAAUUAUCUACACAAUCAAAACAGGUGGGGUCCACAACGAUUAAUUUUUAUUUGUCAUUUUUCACAAUAAAAAUCACAGUUACAAAUUCAAAACUUCAACUCUAAAAUCAAACGGAUUGUGAAUAUUUCAUUGAAGUGAUUCUCAUCGUCUUCGAAUCAAAUUCUGAUUCUACAUUGAUUCCUUCUCUCCAUUGAGCCACACAUCCCCGCGAAAUCAGUGGGAACGGAAAAGGCAGCAUCAAUGGUGAAGGAUUCAAGGGAUGAAGUAUGAGAAACAGGACUCCGAUGGUGGUGUCGACGAUGCCCAAAGUCAUCAAUGGCGAUGGUUUGGGCGGCUGGGCAGUGUAGGUCAGUGGCAAUGAACGGAGGCGGAGAUGGGAUUUUUUUUUUUUUGCUGAAUAUUAAUUUAAUUAAUAUAAUAUAUAUAUGCGGGCCCUCAUAAAAUAUUCCAAAAGAGAGAUAAGCAUUGAAAUAGGAAUCUCUAUUUUUUUAAGGUGUCUAUGAUCUAUGUGGCGCUUAUGUGAUAGUGUAGAGCUCAGUUCAGAAACACUAAAAAGAGAUAUCCAUGAGAAGUUGUCUUAGUUAUGAACAUUUGACAUGGGAACACAAGAUGUUUUGUUCCCGCUCGUGCAAAAUGUUCAUCCAUCAUGUAAAAAGGGAAUGUAGUGAUUGAGUGACAUGCACUCUCAUUCAAGAAUUAAUAAAUUUUAUAUUCGAUUUUCAAA